CGCUGGCGGUAUGCUUACACCUGCAAGUCGAACGGAGUACUUAGGUACUUAGUGGCGGACGGGUGAGUAACGCGUGAGAAUCAGCCUUCAGGUUCGGGACAACCACUGGAAACGGUGGCUAAUACCGGAUAUGCAGCAAUGUGAAAGAUUAAUUGCCUGAAGAUGAGCUCGCGUCUGAUUAGCUAGUAGGUGUGGUAAGAGCGCACCUAGGCGACGAUCAGUAGCUGGUCUGAGAGGAUGAUCAGCCACACUGGAACUGAGACACGGCCCAGACUCCUACGGGAGGCAGCAGUGGGGAAUUUUCCGCAAUGGGCGAAAGCCUGACGGAGCAAUACCGCGUGAGGGAGGAAGGCUCUUGGGUUGUAAACCUCUUUUCUCAAGGAAGAACACAAUGACGGUACUUGAGGAAUAAGCAUCGGCUAACUCCGUGCCAGCAGCCGCGGUAAUACGGAGGAUGCAAGCGUUAUCCGGAAUGAUUGGGCGUAAAGCGUCCGCAGGUGGCUGUGUAAGUCUGCUGUUAAAUAGUGAGGCUCAACCUCAUAAAAGGCAGUGGAAACUUACACGGCUAGAGUGCGUUCGGGGCAGAGGGAAUUCCUGGUGUUAGCGGUGAAAUGCGUAGAGAUCAGGAAGAACACCGGUGGAGAA
RNAcentral lists this ribosomal RNA (645 nucleotides) under uncultured cyanobacterium. Its description in RNAcentral is "bacterial SSU rRNA". It matches the Rfam family "Bacterial small subunit ribosomal RNA", at positions 34 to 719 of the family's 1533-position model. The record is from RNAcentral. Lineage: Bacteria; Bacillati; Cyanobacteriota.